CAGUCUCUACAAAAUGAUUAACAUUAGAAAAGAUGGAUGGAUAGGUAGAAGUUUGACGUCCAGCAGCAAGUAUUACAUGCAUAUUCAUGAACAAAUAUGUAUGUUAGUUUUUGGUUUGACCAGGCCUGGGAUUAGAACCACCACCCCCUACACUAGUUGAGCAUGUUACCUUGAGACCACCAUGGCUGCUCAAAAGAAAGCAGCCUUUUGUAUUCCUUUAGAAGUUCAUCAUUCAAUGUAUAUGAUAGUCAAGAUUUUUGACCAAAAUAAUGUGUUUCUUUUUUAAAUUAAAAAAAUAUUAGAGAAAUUUUUGAGCUAAUUCAUGCAUAUUUAUGGUCAAUUUAAUUCUAGUGAUCACUACAAAAUGAAGUAAUCUAAGAAGUAUAGCUACGACAGAGUGUUCUACAGUUUCUGGAGAAUUAACUUCCAUUUGCAAUAAAAAAAAAAAAAGAAAGAUGUCUUCCUCAAACCACACAAUGAUUUUCUAAAAGAAACAGUUAAACACAGUGUUACAUAGAUAUGACUAGGAUGUGUUGUUAAACAUUUGGUUUAAUUUCAGAGUUUUCUGUACUAAAACUGAUUCCUAGUAGAUUGUUGUUUCUUCUAAGUCACCUGAGAGGUCAAUAAAUAAGUACAAGAUUUUCAAAUAGUUGAAAGUUGGUAUCUCACAAAUGUAAUGAAUCCAUAGUAUAUGUUGGCUAGACUUUUAUUUUAUAUAUCUUGUGAAGUUAAUGCAAGCUAGUUUAAUUUUAAAAGAACAAUUGUUUACACUUUUUAUCAGUCUUUCCCUUGAUUACAAUCGAGCAAUGUUUAUUUAUUUACUUAUUGAGGUAUAAUUUUGUUCAAUUGGUUUUUAGUUUAGUUUCCUCAACAAGAAUAUGAUGAAUUUCAAUGUACAGUUUCACAAAAGUCUGGAUUUCAACAAAUUGUAAAAUUCUUUCUUAAGUUUUAGAAAGAGUUAUAAUAGAUUCUAAGUUUAAAAUGAUUGGUAGAUGCAUGACUCUUCAGGUCAACUAGAUAAAAUACACAUUGACUUGUUUAGAAACAAAUUUGAAAGCAAGCCAAGUAAGAUAUUCUGCAUGGAAAAGUUCCAUAUUUUCUGAUAAAAUAAUAAUGUUUUUUUUUCCAUUUUUUCUCACCUCAUUUUACUGGUAAAUUCCAUGUUUAAGAGAAUAAUUACUGGGUAUGCUCAAACUCUACAACAAAAAUGUCCAAGGAGAAUAUGCAUGAUUAUAUUGUACAUGUGACAUAAAAUUUAAUAUUCAACAAAAUUCCUUCAAUACAAAAUAAUGAGCAAUUAUUACAAUUAUUUAUGGCAAUAUAGUAUAAAAAGACAAAAGAACAAACAAAAUAAAUAACACAUCAUGUGAUCAUAGUUAAAUAUUAGUGUAAUGUAAUUGUUAUAUUGAAUGAACUACUCCAUAAACGGGAUUACCAUGCAUGAUUUUCUUUUCUUUCUUCUCUGCAAAC
Molecule: long non-coding RNA, 1470 nt
Filed under: Mytilus galloprovincialis (Mediterranean mussel)
Lineage: Eukaryota; Metazoa; Mollusca; Bivalvia; Mytilida; Mytilidae
Source: RNAcentral